RNAcentral lists this ribosomal RNA (497 nucleotides) under uncultured bacterium. RNAcentral describes it as "partial 16S ribosomal RNA". It matches the Rfam family "Bacterial small subunit ribosomal RNA", at positions 28 to 507 of the family's 1533-position model. The record is from RNAcentral.
GAUGAACGCUGGCGGCGUGCCUAAUACAUGCAAGUCGAGCGAACGGACGAGAAGCUUGCUUCUCUGAUGUUAGCGGCGGACGGGUGAGUAAUACGUGGAUAACCUACCUAUAAGACUGGGAUAACUUCGGGAAACCGGAGCUAAUACCGGAUGAUAUUUUGAAUCGCAUGGUUCAAAAGUGAAAGACGGCCUUGCUGUCCCUUAUAGAUGGUUCCGCGCUGCAUUAGCUAGUUGGUAAGGUAACGGCUUACCAAGGCAACGAUGCGUAGCCGACCUGAGAGGAUGAUCAGCCACACUGGAACUGAGACACGGUCCAGACUCCUACGGGAGGCAGCAGUGGGGAAUAUUCGGCAAUGGGCGAAAGCCUGACGGAGCAACGCCGCGUGAGUGAUGAAGGUCUUCGGAUCGUAAAGCGCUGUUAUUAGGGAAGAACAGAUGUGUAAGUAACUGUGCACGUCUUGACGGUACCUAAUCAGAAAGCCACGGCUAACUACGUG